GGCUGUAUGUAGUUCAGUGGUAAAGUGCUUGCCUUCAAUGUAUGAGGCCUAAGUUCAAUACCCAGGAUUUCCA
This 73-nucleotide transfer RNA is filed under the name Mus musculus (house mouse). Its description in RNAcentral is "tRNA-Sec". The record is from RNAcentral. Lineage: Eukaryota; Metazoa; Chordata; Mammalia; Rodentia; Muridae.